RNAcentral lists this ribosomal RNA (255 nucleotides) under uncultured bacterium. RNAcentral describes it as "partial 16S ribosomal RNA". It matches the Rfam family "Bacterial small subunit ribosomal RNA", at positions 524 to 777 of the family's 1533-position model. The record is from RNAcentral.
UACGGGGGGGGGCAAGCGUUGUUCGGAAUUACUGGGCGUAAAGGGUCUGUAGGUGGCCAACUAAGUCAGACGUGAAAUCCCUCAGCUUAACUGGGGAACUGCGUCUGAUACUGGAUGGCUUGAGUGCAGGAGAGGAACGCGGAAUUCCAGGUGUAGCGGUGAAAUGCGUAGAUAUCUGGAGGAACACCGGUGGCGAAGGCGGCAUCCUGGACCGGUAUUGACGCUGAGGCGCGAAAGCUAGGGGAGCAAACGGGG